This 496-nucleotide ribosomal RNA is filed under the name uncultured bacterium. RNAcentral's name for it is "partial 16S ribosomal RNA". It matches the Rfam family "Bacterial small subunit ribosomal RNA", at positions 30 to 523 of the family's 1533-position model. The record is from RNAcentral.
AUUGAACGCUGGCGGCAGGCUUAACACAUGCAAGUCGAACGAUGAGUCUCUAGCUUGCUAGAGAUGAUUAGUGGCGGACGGGUGAGUAACAUUUAGGAAUCUGCCUAGUAGUGGGGGAUAGCUCGGGGAAACUCGAAUUAAUACCGCAUACGACCUACGGGUGAAAGGGGGCGCAAGCUCUUGCUAUUAGAUGAGCCUAAAUCAGAUUAGCUAGUUGGUGGGGUAAAGGCCCACCAAGGCGACGAUCUGUAACUGGUCUGAGAGGAUGAUCAGUCACACCGGAACUGAGACACGGUCCGGACUCCUACGGGAGGCAGCAGUGGGGAAUAUUGGACAAUGGGGGCAACCCUGAUCCAGCCAUGCCGCGUGUGUGAAGAAGGCCUUUUGGUUGUAAAGCACUUUAAGCAGGGAGGAGAGGCUAAUGGUUAAUACCCAUUAGAUUAGACGUUACCUGCAGAAUAAGCACCGGCUAACUCUGUGCCAGCAGCCGCCGUAA